This 165-nucleotide ribosomal RNA is filed under the name Arundinella hirta. RNAcentral's name for it is "5.8S ribosomal RNA". It matches the Rfam family "5.8S ribosomal RNA". Rfam says of the family: 5.8S ribosomal RNA (5.8S rRNA) is a component of the large subunit of the eukaryotic ribosome. It is transcribed by RNA polymerase I as part of the 45S precursor that also contains 18S and 28S rRNA. Functionally, it is thought that 5.8S rRNA may be involved in ribosome translocation. The record is from RNAcentral. Lineage: Eukaryota; Viridiplantae; Streptophyta; Magnoliopsida; Poales; Poaceae.
CAACACGACUCUCGGCAACGGAUAUCUCGGCUCUCGCAUCGAUGAAGAACGUAGCAAAAUGCGAUACCUGGUGUGAAUUGCAGAAUCCCGCGAACCAUCGAGUUUUUGAACGCAAGUUGCGCCCAAAGCCUUCUGGCCGAGGGCACGUCUGCCUGGGCGUCAUGC